UAACGGCGAAGAACCUUACCAGGUCUUGACAUUCUUUUUGCUAACCUAAGAGAUUAGGCGUUCCUUUCGGGGACGGAAUGACAGGUGGUGCAUGGUUGUCGUCAGCUCGUGUCGUGAGAAGUUGGGUUAAGUCCCGCAACGAGCGCAACCCUUAUUGUCAGUUGCCAGCAUUUAGUUGGGCACUCUGGCGAGACUGCCGGUGACAAACCGGAGGAAGGCGGGGAUGACGUCAAAUCAUCAUGCCCCUUAUGACCUGGGCUACACACGUGCUACAAUGGGUGGUACAACGAGCAGCGAGACCGCGAGGUCAAGCGAAUCUCUAAAAGCCGUUCUCAGUUCGGAUUGUAGGCUGCAACUCGCCUACAUGAAGUUGGAAUCGCUAGUAAUCGUGGAUCAGC
RNAcentral lists this ribosomal RNA (398 nucleotides) under uncultured bacterium. RNAcentral describes it as "bacterial SSU rRNA". It matches the Rfam family "Bacterial small subunit ribosomal RNA", at positions 956 to 1353 of the family's 1533-position model. The record is from RNAcentral.